This 421-nucleotide unclassified non-coding RNA is filed under the name Hevea brasiliensis (rubber tree). Lineage: Eukaryota; Viridiplantae; Streptophyta; Magnoliopsida; Malpighiales; Euphorbiaceae. The record is from RNAcentral.
AUUUUGUAUUUUGUAAACUUUUGUAAUUAGACUUUUAUUUUGUCAUGUAUAUUACAAUCUCAUGUAAUUAUGUUUUGAUGUAAACACCUAUAAAUCAUAUUCAGUGAUAAAUUUGAGUAUUUCUUAUUGAGUUGAGUAUGAUAUGAAGUGAAUUGAAUUUUGAGAUAUUGAAGUCAUUUGAGAAAUUGUGGAAAGAUGUUGGUUGUUGACUGAGAUUGAUAUUAUGAUUAUAUUGGAAGUGUUUUUAACAGAUUCAAAAGAACUGUUUUUCCAAUUUACAGCCAGCACUCUGCCGAAUUUUUCAUAGAAUUUGUGGAAAAUUCAGAUUAAUCAAAAUUGUAAAUAAAUGUGUUAAAAAUGUUAAAUUGUAAUGGAAAUAUGAUUUGGUGCUCCGGCACACUUUGUGGCAUAUCUUGCUCAG